Molecule: ribosomal RNA, 497 nt
Filed under: uncultured bacterium
Lineage: Bacteria
Description: partial 16S ribosomal RNA
Rfam family: Bacterial small subunit ribosomal RNA
Source: RNAcentral
GAUGAACGCUGGCGGCGUGCCUAAUACAUGCAAGUCGAACGAACAGACGCGGUGCUUGCUGCUCUGACGUUAUCGGCGGACGGCUGGGUAACAAGUGGAUAACCACCUUAUAACACUUGGAUAACUUCGGGAAACAGGAGGUAAUACCGGAUAAUAUCUUGAACUGCCUGGUUCUAUAUUUAAAGACGAUUUUGCUGUCACUUAUAGAUGGCUCCGCGCCGCAUAAGUUAGUUGGUGAGGUAAGGGCUUCCCAAGCGGAGGCUGCGUAGCCGACCUGAGAGGGUGGUCGGCCACACUGGAAGUGAGACAAGGUCCAGACGCCUACGGGAGGCAGCAGGAGGGGAUCAUCCGCAAAGGGCGAAAGCCUGACGGAGCAACGCCGCGUGAGUGAUGAAGGUCGUCGGAUCGUAAAACUCUGUUAUUAGGGAAGAACAAAUGUGUAAGUAACUAUGCACGUCUUGACGGUACCUAAUCAGAAAGCCACGGCUAACUACGUG